RNAcentral lists this transfer RNA (75 nucleotides) under Burkholderia latens. RNAcentral describes it as "tRNA-Gly". It matches the Rfam family "tRNA". Rfam says of the family: Transfer RNA (tRNA) molecules are approximately 80 nucleotides in length. The record is from RNAcentral. Lineage: Bacteria; Pseudomonadati; Pseudomonadota; Betaproteobacteria; Burkholderiales; Burkholderiaceae.
GCGGGCUUGGCCGAUCGGUUAGGCGUCAGUCUUCCAAACUGUUCCAAGCGAGUUCAAUUCUCGCAGCCCGCUCCA